Molecule: ribosomal RNA, 305 nt
Filed under: uncultured bacterium
Lineage: Bacteria
Description: bacterial SSU rRNA
Rfam family: Bacterial small subunit ribosomal RNA
Source: RNAcentral
GCCUACGGGGGGCAGCAGUAGGGAAUCUUCCACAAUGGGCGAAAGCCUGAUGGAGCAACGCCGCGUGGGUGAAGAAGGUCUUCGGAUCGUAAAACUCUGUUGUUAGAGAAGAAAGUGCGUGAGAGUAACUGUUCACGUUUCGACGGUAUCUAACCAGAAAGCCACGGCUAACUACGUGCCAGCAGCCGCGGUAAUACGUAGGUGGCAAGCGUUAUCCGGAUUUAUUGGGCGUAAAGGGAACGCAGGCGGUCUUUUAAGUCUGAUGUGAAAGCCUUCGGCUUAACCGGAGUAGUGCAUUGGAAACU